UACGUAGGGUGCAAGCGUUAAUCGGAAUUACUGGGCGUAAAGCGUGCGCAGGCGGUUUUGUAAGUCUGUCGUGAAAUCCCCGGGCUCAACCUGGGAAUUGCGAUGGAGACUGCAAGGCUAGAAUCUGGCAGAGGGGGGUAGAAUUCCACGUGUAGCAGUGAAAUGCGUAGAGAUGUGGAGGAACACCAGUGGCGAAGGCGGCUGACUGGACAUGUAUUGACGCUGAGGUGCGAAAGCGUGGGGAGCAAACAGG
Molecule: ribosomal RNA, 253 nt
Filed under: uncultured bacterium
Lineage: Bacteria
Description: partial 16S ribosomal RNA
Rfam family: Bacterial small subunit ribosomal RNA
Source: RNAcentral